RNAcentral lists this ribosomal RNA (796 nucleotides) under uncultured beta proteobacterium. RNAcentral's name for it is "bacterial SSU rRNA". It matches the Rfam family "Bacterial small subunit ribosomal RNA", at positions 1 to 803 of the family's 1533-position model. The record is from RNAcentral. Lineage: Bacteria; Pseudomonadati; Pseudomonadota; Betaproteobacteria.
GAUUAGUUUGAUCCUGGCUCAGAUUGAACGCUGGCGGCAUGCCUUACACAUGCAAGUCGAACGGCAGCACGGGUGCUUGCACCUGGUGGCGAGUGGCGAACGGGUGAGUAAUGCAUCGGAACGUACCCGGAAGUGGGGGAUAACGUAGCGAAAGUUACGCUAAUACCGCAUAUUCUGUGAGCAGGAAAGAGGGGGAUCGCAAGACCUCUCGCUUUCGGAGCGGCCGAUGUCGGAUUAGCUAGUUGGUGGGGUAAAGGCUCACCAAGGCGACGAUCCGUAGCGGGUCUGAGAGGAUGAUCCGCCACACUGGGACUGAGACACGGCCCAGACUCCUACGGGAGGCAGCAGUGGGGAAUUUUGGACAAUGGGCGCAAGCCUGAUCCAGCCAUGCCGCGUGAGUGAAGAAGGCCUUCGGGUUGUAAAGCUCUUUUGUCAGGGAAGAAAUAGUCUGGGUUAAUACCCUGGGCGAAUGACGGUACCUGAAGAAUAAGCACCGGCUAACUACGUGCCAGCAGCCGCGGUAAUACGUAGGGUGCGAGCGUUAAUCGGAAUUACUGGGCGUAAAGCCGUGCCCAGGCGGUUUUGUAGUCAGAUGUGAAAUCCCCGGGCUCAACCUGGGGAACUGCAUUUGAAACUGCAAGGCUAGAGUGUAACAGAGGGGGGUAGAAUUCCACGUGUAGCAGUGAAAUGCGUAGAGAUGUGGAGGAAUACCGAUGGCGAAGGCAGCCCCUGGGUUCUACUGACCUCAUGCCAAAGCGUGGGGAACAACCGGAUAAAUCCUGGUAGUCAAUCCCGG